This 253-nucleotide ribosomal RNA is filed under the name uncultured bacterium. RNAcentral's name for it is "partial 16S ribosomal RNA". It matches the Rfam family "Bacterial small subunit ribosomal RNA", at positions 524 to 776 of the family's 1533-position model. The record is from RNAcentral.
UACGUAGGUGGCGAGCGUUGUCCGGAUUUACUGGGCGUAAAGGGCGUGCAGGCGGUUUGUUAAGUGCAGGGUGAAAGCUCCCGGCUCAACUGGGGAGGGUCACUCGAUACUGAUCGACUUGAAGGCAGGAGAGGGAAGCGGAAUUCCCGGUGUAGUGGUGAAAUGCGUAGAUAUCGGGAGGAACACCAGUGGCGAAGGCGGCUUCCUGGCCUGUUCUUGACGCUGAGGCGCGAAAGCUAGGGGAGCAAACGGG